CAGCAGCCGCGGGAAUACGGAGGGAGCUAGCGUUGUUCGGAAUCACUGGGCGUAAAGCGCACGUAGGCGGCUAUUCAAGUCAGGGGUGAAAGCCCGGGGCUCAACCCCGGAACUGCCUUUGAAACUAGAUAGCUUGAAUCUUGGAGAGGCGAGUGGAAUUCCGAGUGUAGAGGUGAAAUUCGUAGAUAUUCGGAAGAACACCAGUGGCGAAGGCGACUCGCUGGACAAGUAUUGACGCUGAGGUGCGAAAGCGUGGGGAGCAAACAGGAUUAGAUACCCCAGUAGUCCCUGUCUCUUAUAC
This 301-nucleotide ribosomal RNA is filed under the name uncultured bacterium. RNAcentral's name for it is "partial 16S ribosomal RNA". It matches the Rfam family "Bacterial small subunit ribosomal RNA", at positions 509 to 807 of the family's 1533-position model. The record is from RNAcentral.